GCCCGCCUAGCUCAAUCGGAUAGAGCGUCAGACUCUUACGAAGUCCAGAGGGCGGGAAAGAUUAUCUGAAGGCUGCGAGUUCGACCCUCGCGGUGGGCU
Non-coding RNA from Schizophyllum commune H4-8, 99 nucleotides. The record is from Rfam. NCBI's taxonomy places the organism in Eukaryota, Fungi, Basidiomycota, Agaricomycetes, Agaricales, Schizophyllaceae.